This 433-nucleotide long non-coding RNA is filed under the name Pan troglodytes (chimpanzee). RNAcentral's name for it is "long non-coding RNA NONPTRT015756". Lineage: Eukaryota; Metazoa; Chordata; Mammalia; Primates; Hominidae. The record is from RNAcentral.
CUGUGAUGUAAAAGAUUGGAACUGUGUUUGCAGAUAAAGAGAUAAUUACGAAUCAGUUACCUUAAUUAUUCCUUCCCUUCAAAAUGGACAUAGAAUGACCAGUUUUCUCACUCUACAUUUGAAAUAGAUCAUUUCUCUGCACUGUGCACUGUGCCCAUCGAUAUAGAUGACAACAUAGAAGACUGUUUAGUCAACCUUUACCACUCGUAUUUUUAUCUAAUUGGUCUGAAAUAUUAUUUAAAACUCCCUCGGUGAUUGCAAUUUGCAGGAAGUCUUGAGGAAAACUGUAUGAGACUAAAGCCACAAGGUUCUGAAACCCUCCCUUAAAGUCAAUGGCAAAGUUGGAAGUCUGUGCCUAUGUGCCUUUUUCUAGGAAGACAAAAUAUAUUGUACUUCUCUAAGUUUUUCCAGAUCCCACACAAUAUUUACCAAA